RNAcentral lists this ribosomal RNA (581 nucleotides) under Trichoderma spirale. Its description in RNAcentral is "eukaryotic LSU rRNA". The stretch from base 214 to 367 matches the Rfam family "5.8S ribosomal RNA". The record is from RNAcentral. Lineage: Eukaryota; Fungi; Ascomycota; Sordariomycetes; Hypocreales; Hypocreaceae.
CGGAGGGAUCAUUACCGAGUUUACAACUCCCAAACCCAAUGUGAACGUUACCAAACUGUUGCCUCGGCGGGAUCUCUGCCCCGGGUGCGUCGCAGCCCCGGACCAAGGCGCCCGCCGGAGGACCAACCAAAAACUCUUUUGUAUACCCCCUCGCGGGUUUUUUAUAUCUGAGCCAUCUCGGCGCCUCUCGUAGGCGUUUCGAAAAUGAAUCAAAACUUUCAACAACGGAUCUCUUGGUUCUGGCAUCGAUGAAGAACGCAGCGAAAUGCGAUAAGUAAUGUGAAUUGCAGAAUUCAGUGAAUCAUCGAAUCUUUGAACGCACAUUGCGCCCGCCAGUAUUCUGGCGGGCAUGCCUGUCCGAGCGUCAUUUCAACCCUCGAACCCCUCCGGGGGGUCGGCGUUGGGGAUCGGCCCUUUACGGGGCCGGCCCCGAAAUACAGUGGCGGUCUCGCCGCAGCCUCUCCUGCGCAGUAGUUUGCACACUCGCAUCGGGAGCGCGGCGCGUCCAUUGCCGUAAAACACCCAACUUUCUGAAAUGUUGACCUCGGAUCAGGUAGGAAUACCCGCUGAACUUAAGCAUA